CCUACGUGAGGCAGCAGUGGGGAAUCUUGCACAAUGGGGGGAACCCUGAUGCAGCGACGCCGCGUGGGUGAAGGAGCACCUCGGUGCGUAAAGCCCUGUCGGCAGGGAAGAAAGGCGGGCUGUGCCCGUCUUGACGGUACCUGACUAAGAAGCCCCGGCUCACUACGUGCCAGCAGCCGCGGUAGUACUUCGGGGGCAAGCGUUAUCCGCGUUCCCUUGGUGUAAAGGGGGCGUAGACGGCGACGCCAGUCUGGAGUGGAAGCCCGGGGCCCAGCCCCGGGACUGCUUUGGAAACUGCGGCGCGGGAGGACGGGAGGGGCAGGCGGAAUUCCUGGUGGAGCGGGGAAAUGCGUAGAUAGCAGGAGGAACACCGGCGGCGAAGGCGGCCUGCUGGACCGUGACUGACG
RNAcentral lists this ribosomal RNA (407 nucleotides) under uncultured bacterium. RNAcentral's name for it is "partial 16S ribosomal RNA". It matches the Rfam family "Bacterial small subunit ribosomal RNA", at positions 338 to 745 of the family's 1533-position model. The record is from RNAcentral.